AACGUAGGACGCGAGCGUUAUCCGGAGUUACUGGGCGUAAAGCGCGGGCAGGCGGUCUGACAAGUCUGAUGUGAAAUCUCCGGGCUUAACCGGGAGAGGCCAUUGGAAACUGACAGGCUGGAGGGCAGUAGAGGUAGGCGGAAUUCCGGGUGGAGUGGUGAAAUGCGUAGAGAUCCGGAGGAACACCAGAGGCGAAAGCGGCAUCCUGGGCCGGGCCUGACGCUGAGGCGUGAAAGCGUGGGGAGCGAACCGG
RNAcentral lists this ribosomal RNA (253 nucleotides) under uncultured bacterium. RNAcentral's name for it is "partial 16S ribosomal RNA". It matches the Rfam family "Bacterial small subunit ribosomal RNA", at positions 524 to 776 of the family's 1533-position model. The record is from RNAcentral.